GGGCCUAUAGUCCAGUGGUAAGACACCGCAUUCGCAUUGCGGAGACGCGAGUUCGAUUCUCGCUAGGUCCACAA
RNAcentral lists this transfer RNA (74 nucleotides) under bacterium. RNAcentral's name for it is "tRNA-Ala". It matches the Rfam family "tRNA". Rfam says of the family: Transfer RNA (tRNA) molecules are approximately 80 nucleotides in length. The record is from RNAcentral.